AACGAACGCUGGCGGCAGGCUUAACACAUGCAAGUCGAACGCGUGUAGCAAUACACGAGUGGCGCACGGGUGAGUAACGCGUGGAUAUCUGCCUUUUGGUUCGGAAUAACCCCGGGAAACUGGGGCUAAUACCGGAUGGUUCCUACGGGAUAAAGAUUUAUCGCCAAAAGAUGAGUCCGCGUACGAUUAGCUAGUUGGUGAGGUAAUGGCUCACCAAGGCGACGAUCGUUAGCUGGUCUGAGAGGACGAUCAGCCACACUGGGACUGAGACACGGCCCAGACUCCUACGGGAGGCAGCAGUGGGGAAUAUUGGACAAUGGGGGCAACCCUGAUCCAGCCAUGCCGCGUGAGUGAUGAAGGCCUUCGGGUUGUAAAGCUCUUUUGGCGGGGACGAUGAUGACGGUACCCGCAGAAUAAGCCCCGGCUAACUUCGUGCCGGCAGCCGCGGUAAGACGAAGGGGGCUAGCGUUGUUCGGAAUUACUGGGCGUAAAGCGCGUGUAGGCGGUUGCCCAAGUCGGGUGUGAAAGCCUUGAGCUCAACUCAAGAAAUGCACUCGGUACUGGGUGACUAGAGGACCGGAGAGGAUAGUGGAAUUCCCAGUGUAGUGGUGAAAUACGUAGAGAUUGGGAAGAACACCAGUGGCGAAGGCGGCUAUCUGGACGGUUUCUGACGCUAAGACGCGAAAGCGUGGGGAGCAAACAGG
Molecule: ribosomal RNA, 704 nt
Filed under: uncultured Rhodospirillaceae bacterium
Lineage: Bacteria; Pseudomonadati; Pseudomonadota; Alphaproteobacteria; Rhodospirillales; Rhodospirillaceae
Description: bacterial SSU rRNA
Rfam family: Bacterial small subunit ribosomal RNA
Source: RNAcentral